This 176-nucleotide non-coding RNA is filed under the name Lactobacillus apis. Its description in RNAcentral is "Lysine sequence". It matches the Rfam family "Lysine riboswitch aptamer". From Rfam's summary of the family: Riboswitches are metabolite binding domains within certain messenger RNAs that serve as precision sensors for their corresponding targets. Allosteric rearrangement of mRNA structure is mediated by ligand binding, and this results in modulation of gene expression. The record is from Rfam by way of RNAcentral. Lineage: Bacteria; Bacillati; Bacillota; Bacilli; Lactobacillales; Lactobacillaceae.
CAAUGCAAUAGAGGUUGCGGUAAUUACGAAACUAAUCUGAGUGAACGAACACAAUGAAGAUUAGUGUAAGAGUUAUCGCCGAAACAAAAGUGCUAUUCGCUUUAACACUUUUGUUGGGCUGCAGGAGAAGAUCUUGCAGACUGUCCUAGUUAAUACUGGGGAGCGCUAUAUGAUUU